AUAUAUUUAUAUUUAUUGGUGGUGCCCCCUAUUUUCAAAUUUACUACUGACGCUGCAUAUGUUGACACAGGGCCGUGAAGUCAAAAUUGGCACCCUGGCCACACUUCACCUUCUGCCCACAGAUUCUAUAAAUGGCCAUGUUCACCU
Molecule: long non-coding RNA, 147 nt
Organism: Bufo bufo (common toad)
Lineage: Eukaryota; Metazoa; Chordata; Amphibia; Anura; Bufonidae
Exons: 3
Source: RefSeq, a predicted model, not a curated record